CUACGGGGUGCAGCAGUGGGGAAUAUUGCACAAUGGGGGGAACCCUGAUGCAGCAACGCCGCGUGGAGGAUGACGCAUUUCGGUGUGUAAACUCCUUUUAUAUGUCAAGAAAAUGACGGUAGCAUAUGAAUAAGCGCCGGCUAACUCCGUGCCAGCAGCCGCGGUAAUACGGAGGGCGCAAGCGUUACUCGGAAUCACUGGGCGUAAAGGACGCGUAGGCGGGUUGAAAAGUCAGGUGUGAAAGCCUACAGCUUAACUGUAGAACUGCACUUGAAACUUCUAAUAUAGAGUAUGGGAGGGGGAGAUGGAAUUAGUGGUGUAGGGGUAAAAUCCGUAGAUAUCACUAGGAAUACCUAAAGCGAAGGCGAUCUCCUGGAACAUUACUGACGCUAAGGCGUGAAAGCGUGGGGAGCAAACAGGAUUAGAUACCCGAGUAGUC
RNAcentral lists this ribosomal RNA (439 nucleotides) under uncultured bacterium. RNAcentral's name for it is "partial 16S ribosomal RNA". It matches the Rfam family "Bacterial small subunit ribosomal RNA", at positions 339 to 795 of the family's 1533-position model. The record is from RNAcentral.